RNAcentral lists this small RNA (76 nucleotides) under Paraclostridium benzoelyticum. RNAcentral describes it as "Flavo-1 RNA". It matches the Rfam family "Flavo-1 RNA". The record is from Rfam by way of RNAcentral. Lineage: Bacteria; Bacillati; Bacillota; Clostridia; Peptostreptococcales; Peptostreptococcaceae.
UUUAAGUUAGGGAUUGCAAUGUAAAUCCUUUUGAACGACUUAUCUCAAAAGAUUGAAAUGAAAAGCCCGGUGGCGA